RNAcentral lists this ribosomal RNA (253 nucleotides) under uncultured bacterium. Its description in RNAcentral is "partial 16S ribosomal RNA". It matches the Rfam family "Bacterial small subunit ribosomal RNA", at positions 524 to 776 of the family's 1533-position model. The record is from RNAcentral.
UACGUAGGGUGCAAGCGUUGUCCGGAAUUAUUGGGCGUAAAGAGCUCGUAGGCGGCCUGUCGCGUCGGAUGUGAAAAUCCAAGGCUCAACCUUGGACCUGCAUUCGAUACGGGCAGGCUAGAGUUCGGUAGGGGAGACUGGAAUUCCUGGUGUAGCGGUGAAAUGCGCAGAUAUCAGGAGGAACACCGAUGGCGAAGGCAGUGGUCUGGGCCGGUACUGACGCUGAGACGCGAAAGCGUGGGGAGCAAACAGG